UGGGCAAGGGAGAGCAACGCCAUGGACGGCUGGGGACAAACGUGGCUGUUUCCAAGGAGAAGACUUUCGUUUGCUUUUUCAAAUCUCAUACCCAAUGUUUUUCUUCACAGGUUUUGCACAGUAGGGACCCAGAAGCCCUCGGAGACACUGCUGAGAAAGGACUACUCGAAAUAAGACCUGUGGGUAAGGCCUUCUUGACUGCUCACCUGGUCUGUGCCCAGGAGAGCUGAGGUGGGGAGCCAAUGAUUUGCGUUCACAUGCGAGAGAAACAGAGGGAUAUGUGUGAUGGAGAGCUAUGGUUUACUUCUGAAAGAGUAACAGUAUGUGGUAUAGAGCGAUUUACUGUAUGUUAUUUGAUUUCUGAAGAUUUAUAAGUCAAGUAUUUUCUUAAGUGUAAAGUUUUUCCCACUUCCAAAUGAAACAUGAAAACACUCCAAGCACUUAAGAGUAAUUUAAUGAGGCUAGUUUUUAAUUGUUGAAAUUAAUAAUCCAAGGACAUAAAAACUUACUUGAGUAAGAGCUGUAGUAGAACUUUUAACACCCUGGGAUUGAGUCCAUUUUGCUUCAAAGUAAAGAAUAUUUGCUAUUUUUAAAAUGCUAUCCGAAUAGUGUUUUGAAAAUUUACGUACAUAAUAUAAAUACCAGGAAUAGUAGCAUCUAACAAUAAAAGAGGCUGCCAAGUUUUUGCCCACCAGACAAUGCAGAUGGGACUGACCCAGAAAAGAGCGCCAACCCAGAACUUAGUGAGUCAGCAGCUGAUUAAGUCGGAGAAUAGAAGAAACCUCUGUCUUCAGAUAUCCCAAUAUAUAUCUCUGUGUUACAGUUUUUUUUUUUUUUUAAUCCAAAAAUGGUUGAUAAUUGCUGGUCAGCUGAGACCUCAUGUCUAUAUUUUACAAUGCUUCUAUUUCUCCGAGCAUUUAAAAUGAUAAGGUACUUUGUCUAGAAACCCACUGAUAAAAAAGGAAUUUGUAAACGAAGGCAAAGUUUUCUUUGGUCAGUUUCCAGCUGUCCUGGAGGUGAAGGGGGGUGGGGGGGAAGGUGGGAGGGAGGAAAACCCUCAAGCUGAAUGAAAUCCCAAUAGAGAGAAUAAUAGAGAAAGUCUGGGUUGCAAUAUGAUCCAUGCUGAACUUUAAAGGUGGGCCUCUUAAAGAAAGUUCUGGAAAAAUGUUACUGCCUCACCCCUAAGUCCCUCAACCCCCAUUUAUAUCUACCCCCAAACUAUUCUAUAUAAUGAAAACAUCUGUUCUAUAGUUUUUAUGAAAAAAAUGAAUGUGAUCUCUUUUGUCUUCCUUUAAAUUCUUUAAAAUUACAGUGGUUCCUGAACAAAUCCUUUUCUAAAUUGUACAUUUUGCAACAAUUCAAAAAUUGUCACAAGUUCUCUUUUGCAAAACAUUUUAUUACAAAAAGUUCCCCAGGUUAUCUUUUGUGAAAACAAUUUACUUUUUAAAUCACCCUUUUGAUUAUCCCCAAACUGGUAUAAAGAACAUAUUAAGUUAUCUCUUCUAUCCAUAGUUUUUAGUUAAAAUAUAAAAAGCAAGGGUAAAUUUAGUUAUUUUCUCCACUUAGAUGAUAUAAUAAAGCCAUCCUUUGUUUUUUCUAUUGUGACUUGGAGGCUUGCAUAUUAAGUAUUUUUAAUAGAACAAGAGAUAUUUAAAACCUAUAUAGUUCCUUUUACACAAGGAAACUGAAAAAAAAACCUAUUAGGUAAUUACGGAAGCUUACUCUCAAGAAAUAUAUUUUUACUAAUUGAUGCACUUAACUAAAGAAGAAAAAGAGCUAUAAGGGACUUUGGCAAUGUUUAAGUUUUUCUGAAUUUUUUUUUUAACUCUGUAUAAAUGACAGAAUUUCACAACUUGCUUUCAUUUCAUGUAUAUUUAAUUUAAAUGUCUUUCUUCACAUUUAAUGGUCUUUUUGACUCUAAGAAACUAAACGCCACUGCUCGCCCACCAAUUUUCUCCCUCAGGAUGACUUUUAGUCUGGAGAUAGAGGGGACCCGAUGGUGUCCUUGGCAUAAGUACAGGAAUAGGAACCUUAAGAAUUAAUUUGUAGAGGGGUAGCCGAGGAGUGCGUGCAAGUGCUCGGUGGAGUCCCGACAACCCAUUUUUGAUGCAAGCUUUUAACAAAUGAAAAGGAAUCGUACUUAUUUUUAAAUUGCAUGAGCUAAAUUAAGCAUCAAAAGUAAAAGCUCACUUUAUAAACCCUUGCUGACUGAAGGCAGGAUAGGAUGGUCGUUUAUAUGCUGGUACACACGCCAGCAUGUAUACACACAUAUCGUAAAAUAACCUUAUCUCUUUCCAGGGCAAUUAGAGCAAUGUUUAACUUUAUUUUGAUAUUACUUUAUAAGGAGAUAUACAAAUAUUUUAGAGGUCAUGGGAUCUAUUCCAGAGGAAACUAACCAACAGUGACAUCUUCAACUAAAACUACCGCUGCACAUGACGGUUGCAUGCAUCAUUCCUUUAAUUGAGCAGAGUUAACUGGAUCAAAUUAUUUGUGGGAGAGAGAGGGAAAGCUAUACAGAAUUACAGUAAUUUUUAAUUUCCACCAAUAUAUUCUUUGUAAGUGAAUCACUCUAAAUAUUUUCUGUUACACUGAAUGCAGCAACAAUAACAAAAUAGUUUCAUAAGGUAUUUGUUUUUGCAUACUCUGACCUUGUGAUUAUCUAAAUAGCAGCCAAGUUUACUGACAUUUUUGAUUCUGUCAGAAAAAAAGAAAGUUCUCUACUCAGAAUGUUGACCAGAAACAGAAUCAGACAUUUAUUUUCUUGAAAUCAAAUAAAUAAAUGGAAAAUUGCUCUUAUCACCUCUUUGUUAAAACUGUACCACAUCUAAUCAAUGCAUAAAAGUUCAGAUGUGUAGAAAACUAUAAUUUUUCAGUCUCUAAAAAUAUUUUCCUCUCCAUAAAGUUUCUAUUUGCUAUUUUCUCAGAAUUUUAUAAUUAAAGGGAAAUAACAAACUAGGUGUUUUCUUUAAAACUCUUUGGAAAAAGUCCCAAACUACACACUCCUUGGACAAUAAGAUUUCGUUUUGUUUUUGAAGAAAUCCCACUUACUGGAAUUCUAUCUAAAUAUUUUGUUUUUUAAAGGGCAGGGGGAUUUAUUAAAUACCUCUAUGGAUGUGAAUGAUCAUUUAUAUUAAAAUAGCCAGUAGGAUUAUCCUUGAGCCACCAGAAUUACAUUUUCUACCUGUGUAUUUAACACCAUUAACUCUUUCUUGUAUAAAUUAUAAGAAAAUUUUCUAAGGGGUCUGGUUUUACUUUUUGGAUAUGAAAUAAAGUUUUCUUUCCUACAUUUAAGGUCCUAUUCUGUAACUGUACUGUACCACCAAUGUCCAAAACACAUUCUGAGCAUCACUGUGGGUAACGACUUUUUAGUUUAUACCCUUCUGGUUCAUGGCCCGGCGCUGUAGUUAAUUAAGAGGAGGAACACGUAAGCUCACAACCGUUUCUUAUUUGGUUUUCACAUCCAUACUUAAAACCUUUGCCUUAAAAAGACUAUGAGAAAUUUAAACAAGUUCCCCUCUGCUUUAUGAAGUAUUGGCAAGAAAUGCAUCCCCUUGUCAAAUCCCACUAUCAAAGCAUCGGAUACCAAAGUUGGCUGGUUGAAUUGCCAAAUAGAUUAGGCUUGUUAAUUAUUUCGAAAAUGGCUGCCGUUUCCAUGUAAAUGACAAGUUUCUUUUUCAUGGGCAAGGCUAUGGUACUUAUCGACUACAAGAAACAUGUAUAAACAUAGUCUUUAUCUUUAACUUCAGUAUGAAAAUAUGCAGAGUUUUUGUGAAGAGGAAAAACAUCUGGCUCAAUGACUCUGAACUCUGACUGCAUGUGGGCCAGUAAUAAUAAUAAUACGAAUUGGAUUUAAGAAUAAACCUUGUGUUUAAUCUUUUUGUUUUGUUUGUUUUGUUUUGUUUUUUCCUUGAGAUUUCAGUGUGAGUGUUCUGUUACGUCCAUUAUCCAUGUUAGCAUGUCUGGAACAAAUGUAAAAGUGUACUUUCUGAAUAAAGUCAAAAGUCUCACUUGUUUUAGUUCCAUAAUGUUUUAAUGUUUAAUUCUAUUGUGUGUUUUUCUCCCUUCCCCCGCCCACCCUCCAAAAUCACCAAAUCUGGAAAACAGACUGGUUGUGUCUGCCCAUGAGCAAAGGAGACCCGAAGGAACCAAGGGCCUGGCUGGACGGCGUUGUCACGUGACUGCCUGUCUACACUUGCUGUGCAGAACAUCCGCUCACCUGUACAGCAGGCACAGACAGGCAGUCACAUGACAACCCAGCCUGAGGGACAACCAGCCACUGAAAGAGAGCAGCCCUCACACCAUAGCAUCUACACCAAGAGCUACGACCAAAAUGAGGGGCGCGGGGGCCUGGGGGCCGGAUCUGUUGGUUUAAUACUUAAUUCGUAUGUAUGAUUUUAUUAUAUUAUAUUUUGAUUCGAAUACUGAAACCCACCGAAAAGUAAAGUGAGUGGUGCCGAUGAAAUACAAUAAAACCCAUUUCUGAAAAUG
This is a long non-coding RNA of Mirounga angustirostris (Northern elephant seal), 4488 nucleotides long. RefSeq lists it as uncharacterized. The transcript is spliced from 2 exons. NCBI's taxonomy places the organism in Eukaryota, Metazoa, Chordata, Mammalia, Carnivora, Phocidae. The record is from RefSeq and is a predicted model, not a curated record.